This is a long non-coding RNA of Oncorhynchus tshawytscha (Chinook salmon), 226 nucleotides long. RefSeq lists it as uncharacterized. The transcript has 4 exons. The record is from RefSeq and is a predicted model, not a curated record. Lineage: Eukaryota; Metazoa; Chordata; Actinopteri; Salmoniformes; Salmonidae.
GUGGUGGAUAUGGAGGAUAACCAAACUGUUCUGCAUCCACCGCCUUCCAACAAUAAAGGAGAAAACAGCAGGAAACAAUCCAAGGUGUUUGCCUUUGACCACUGUUUCUGGUCCAUGGAUGAGUCCAACAUGCCCAAGUAUGCUGGUCAAGAGGUGGUGUUCCAGUGCCUUGGUGAGGGAAUACUGGAAAACGCCUUUCAAGGAUACAAUGCCUGCAUUUUCGCCA